UGUGAUUACAGGUGUGAAAUAUCAAUGCU
RNAcentral lists this non-coding RNA (29 nucleotides) under Mus musculus (house mouse). The record is from RNAcentral. Lineage: Eukaryota; Metazoa; Chordata; Mammalia; Rodentia; Muridae.